AACGAACGCUGGCGGCAUGCCUAACACAUGCAAGUCGAACGAGAUCUUCGGGUCUAGUGGCGCACGGGUGCGUAACGCGUGGGAAUCUGCCCUUUGGUUCGGAAUAACAGUUGGACACGACUGCUAAUACCGGAUGAUGACGAAAGUCCAAAGAUUUAUAGCCAGAGGAUGAGCCCGCGUAGGAUUAGCUAGUUGGUGUGGUAAAGGCGCACCAAGGCGACGAUCCUUAGCUGGUCUGAGAGGAUGAUCAGCCACACUGGGACUGAGACACGGCCCAGACUCCUACGGGAGGCAGCAGUGGGGAAUAUUGGACAAUGGGCGAAAGCCUGAUCCAGCAAUGCCGCGUGAGUGAUGAAGGCCUUAGGGUUGUAAAGCUCUUUUACCCGGGAUGAUAAUGACAGUACCGGGAGAAUAAGCUCCGGCUAACUCCGUGCCAGCCGCCGCAGUAA
RNAcentral lists this ribosomal RNA (449 nucleotides) under uncultured bacterium. RNAcentral's name for it is "partial 16S ribosomal RNA". It matches the Rfam family "Bacterial small subunit ribosomal RNA", at positions 29 to 523 of the family's 1533-position model. The record is from RNAcentral.